CGGACGGGUGAGUAAUGUCUGGGAAACUGCCCGAUGGAGGAGGAUAACUACUGGAAACGGUAGCUAAUACCGCAUAACGUCGCAAGACCAAAGAGGGGGACCUUAGGGCCUCUUGCCAUCGGAUGUGCCCAGAUGGGAUUAGCUAGUAGGUGGGGUAAUGGCUCACCUAGGCGACGAUCCCUAGCUGGUCUGAGAGGAUGACCAGCCACACUGGAACUGAGACACGGUCCAG
This 232-nucleotide ribosomal RNA is filed under the name uncultured bacterium. Its description in RNAcentral is "partial 16S ribosomal RNA". It matches the Rfam family "Bacterial small subunit ribosomal RNA", at positions 99 to 334 of the family's 1533-position model. The record is from RNAcentral.